This 539-nucleotide ribosomal RNA is filed under the name uncultured bacterium. Its description in RNAcentral is "partial 16S ribosomal RNA". It matches the Rfam family "Bacterial small subunit ribosomal RNA", at positions 355 to 902 of the family's 1533-position model. The record is from RNAcentral.
UGGGGAAUAUUGCACAAUGGGCGAAAGCCUGAUGCAGCGACGCCGCGUGAGGGAUGACGGCCUUCGGGUUGUAAACCUCUUUCAGCAGGGAAGAAGCGAAAGUGACGGUACCUGCAGAAGAAGCGCCGGCUAACUACGUGCCAGCAGCCGCGGUAAUACGUAGGGCGCAAGCGUUGUCCGGAAUUAUUGGGCGUAAAGAGCUCGUAGGCGGUUAGUCGCGUCUGCUGUGAAAACUCGAGGCUCAACCUCGGGCUUGCAGUGGGUACGGGCUGACUAGAGUGCGGUAGGGGUGACUGGAAUUCCUGGUGUAGCGGUGGAAUGCGCAGAUAUCAGGAGGAACACCGAUGGCGAAGGCAGGUCACUGGGCCGCAACUGACGCUGAGGAGCGAAAGCAUGGGGAGCGAACAGGAUUAGAUACCCUGGUAGUCCAUGCCGUAAACGUUGGGCACUAGGUGUGGGGUCCAUUCCACGGAUUCCGUGCCGCAGCAAACGCAUUAAGUGCCCCGCCUGGGGAGUGACGGCCGCAAGGCUAAAAACUC